GCCAGACUCCUACGGGAGGCAGCAGUGGGGAAUAUUGCACAAUGGGGGAAACCCUGAUGCAGCGACGCCGCGUGAGCGAUGAAGUAUUUCGGUAUGUAAAGCUCUAUCAGCAGGGAAGAAAAUGACGGUACCUGACUAAGAAGCCCCGGCUAACUACGUGCCAGCAGCCGCGGUAAUACGUAGGGGGCAAGCGUUAUCCGGAUUUACUGGGUGUAAAGGGAGCGUAGACGGUCCUGCAAGCCAGAUGUGAAAGACCGGGGCUCAAACCCGGGAGUGCAUUUGGAACUGUAAGGCUAGAGUGUCGGAGAGGCAGGCGGAAUUCCUAGUGUAGCGGUGAAAUGCGUAGAUAUUAGGAGGAACACCAGUGGCGAAGGCGGCCUGCUGGACGAUGACUGACGUUGAGGCUCGAAAGCGUGGGGAGCAAACAGGAUUAGAUACCCCAGUAUA
This 447-nucleotide ribosomal RNA is filed under the name uncultured bacterium. RNAcentral describes it as "bacterial SSU rRNA". It matches the Rfam family "Bacterial small subunit ribosomal RNA", at positions 330 to 794 of the family's 1533-position model. The record is from RNAcentral.